RNAcentral lists this unclassified non-coding RNA (253 nucleotides) under uncultured Rikenellaceae bacterium. Its description in RNAcentral is "contains 16S-23S intergenic spacer region". It matches the Rfam family "Bacterial small subunit ribosomal RNA", at positions 524 to 776 of the family's 1533-position model. The record is from RNAcentral. Lineage: Bacteria; Pseudomonadati; Bacteroidota; Bacteroidia; Bacteroidales; Rikenellaceae.
UACGGAGGAUGCAAGCGUUAUCCGGAUUUAUUGGGUUUAAAGGGUGCGUAGGCGGUCUAUUAAGUCAGCGGUGAAAGCGUUCCGCUCAACGGGAUCAUUGCCGUUGAUACUGGUAGACUUGAAUUCGGAUGCCGUGGGAGGAAUGAGUAGUGUAGCGGUGAAAUGCAUAGAUAUUACUCAGAACACCGAUUGCGAAGGCAUCUCACGAAUCCGACAUUGACGCUGAGGCACGAAAGUGUGGGGAUCAAACAGG